This 72-nucleotide transfer RNA is filed under the name Ixodes scapularis (black-legged tick). It matches the Rfam family "tRNA". From Rfam's summary of the family: Transfer RNA (tRNA) molecules are approximately 80 nucleotides in length. The record is from Rfam by way of RNAcentral. Lineage: Eukaryota; Metazoa; Arthropoda; Arachnida; Ixodida; Ixodidae.
GGGGGUACAGCUCAGGGGUAGAGCAUUCGACUGCACAUCAAGAGGUCCCUGGUUCAAAUCCGGGUGACCCUG